CAAGGAAUAGUUUAAUAAGAAUACCAGCUUUGGGUGCUGGUGGAGGGGCUGGGGCCUCUUCCUUGA
Molecule: transfer RNA, 66 nt
Filed under: Euchoreutes naso (Long-eared jerboa)
Lineage: Eukaryota; Metazoa; Chordata; Mammalia; Rodentia; Dipodidae
Description: tRNA-Pro
Source: RNAcentral